AACGAACGCUGGCGGCAUGCCUAACACAUGCAAGUCGAACGAGACCUUCGGGUCUAGUGGCGCACGGGUGCGUAACGCGUGGGAACCUGCCCUUAGGUUCGGAAUAACUCCCCGAAAGGGGUGCUAAUACCGGAUAAUGUCUUCGGACCAAAGAUUUAUCGCCUUUGGAUGGGCCCGCGUUGGAUUAGCUAGUUGGUAGGGUAAAAGCCUACCAAGGCGACGAUCCAUAGCUGGUCUGAGAGGAUGAUCAGCCACACUGGGACUGAGACACGGCCCAGACUCCUACGGGAGGCAGCAGUGGGGAAUAUUGGACAAUGGGCGAAAGCCUGAUCCAGCAAUGCCGCGUGAGUGAUGAAGGCCUUAGAGUUGUAAAGCUCUUUUACCCGUGAUGAUAAUGACAGUACCGGGAGAAUAAGCUCCGGCUAACUCCGUG
This 433-nucleotide ribosomal RNA is filed under the name uncultured bacterium. RNAcentral describes it as "partial 16S ribosomal RNA". It matches the Rfam family "Bacterial small subunit ribosomal RNA", at positions 29 to 507 of the family's 1533-position model. The record is from RNAcentral.